Molecule: transfer RNA, 85 nt
Organism: Felis catus (domestic cat)
Lineage: Eukaryota; Metazoa; Chordata; Mammalia; Carnivora; Felidae
Rfam family: tRNA
About the family: Transfer RNA (tRNA) molecules are approximately 80 nucleotides in length.
Source: Rfam
GCCUGGGUGGCUCAGUCGGUUGAGCCUCCGGCUUCGGCUCAGGUCAUGAUCUCGCAAUUCAUGGGUUCAAGCCCCACCUCGGGCU